RNAcentral lists this small RNA (390 nucleotides) under Histoplasma ohiense. RNAcentral's name for it is "hypothetical lncRNA". Lineage: Eukaryota; Fungi; Ascomycota; Eurotiomycetes; Onygenales; Ajellomycetaceae. The record is from RNAcentral.
UGGUUGCUUUGGGAAUGGUGUCCACGGGUGCAACUCUUCAACGUUGGGUUUGAUUUGGGAGCGUCCCACUGGGCAAUCCAAUGCAAUCCAAUGCUGAUGGUUCUUCGGCGAGUUCCUAAUACGUGAUCCAUCAGCGACAGCGACAAGGCAACGGUAGGUUUAUGACGUGAUUCGUUCUUAUCGAGAGGUGAUUUCAUGGAUACCGGCGGGAUACGGGUAGUGGAAUAUGUACUGUAUAAUUUUCUUUUCCCAAGGACGAGCGCAAUGCAAUACAUAACAUGAUCGAGAGGAUGCAAAUGAUAGUAGCAAAAUUAAAUUUGCUGUCUGCCGCGAGAGUGGCCAAAGAGGAACACGUUCAUAUCUCACAAAGGCUUCCAGUAGUUAACAGGG